This 438-nucleotide ribosomal RNA is filed under the name uncultured bacterium. RNAcentral describes it as "partial 16S ribosomal RNA". It matches the Rfam family "Bacterial small subunit ribosomal RNA", at positions 339 to 795 of the family's 1533-position model. The record is from RNAcentral.
CUACGGGAGGCAGCAGUGGGGAAUAUUGCGCAAUGGGGGAAACCCUGACGCAGCGACGCCGCGUGAGCGAUGAAGUCCUUCGGGGUGUAAAGCUCUGUCAAAAGGGAAGAUUAUGACGGUACCUUUAGAGGAAGUCCCGGCUAACUACGUGCCAGCAGCCGCGGUAAUACGUAGGGGGCGAAUGUUAUCCGGAAUUAUUGGGCAUAAAGCGCAUGUAGGCGGUAAGUUAAGUCAAAUGUUAAAUGCUUCAGCCUAACUGAAGUUUGCAUUUGAUACUGGUUUACUAGAGAUUAGGAGAGGAAAGUGGAACUUACGGUGUAGCGGUGAAAUGCGUAGAUAUCGUAAGGAAUAUCCGUGGCGAAGGCGGCUUUCUGGCCUAAUUCUGACGCUGAGAUGCGAAAGCGUGGGGAGCAAACGGGAUUAGAUACCCUCGUAGUC